CCUACGGGAGGCAGCAGUAAGGAAUAUUGGUCAAUGGAGGCAACUCUGAACCAGCCAUGCCGCGUGCAGGAUGACGGCCCUAUGGGUUGUAAACUGCUUUUAUACAAGAGAAAACCCUGGUACGUGUACCAGGUUGAUAGUAUUGUAAGAAUAAGCAUCGGCUAACUUCGUGCCAGCAGCCGCGGUAAGACGAAGGAUGCAAGCGUUAUCCGGAUUCAUUGGGUUUAAAGGGUGCGUAGGCGGACUGAUAAGUCAGUGGUGAAAUCUCUUUGCUUAACAAAGAAACUGCCAUUGAUACUGUCGGUCUAGAGUAUAGAUGACGUUGGCGGAAUAUGACAUGUAGUGGUGAAAUACUUAGAUAUGUCAUAGAACACCGAUUGCGAAGGCAGCUAACGAAACUAUAACUGACGCUGAGGCACGAAAGUGCGGGGGAUCAAACAGGAUUAGAUACCCUGGUAGUCCGCACCGUAAACGAUGAUUACUCGUUGUUGGCGAUAUGACAGUCAGNGACCAAGCGAAAGCGAUAAGUAAUCCACCUGGGAGUACGCCGGCGAACGGUGAACUUAAAGGAAUUGACGGNGNGAGACGNGCGAGGACGACGACGAGGGGAGGAGG
This 615-nucleotide ribosomal RNA is filed under the name uncultured bacterium. RNAcentral's name for it is "bacterial SSU rRNA". It matches the Rfam family "Bacterial small subunit ribosomal RNA", at positions 338 to 956 of the family's 1533-position model. The record is from RNAcentral.